AGAGUUUGAUCCUGGCUCAGAGUGAACGCUGGCGGUAUGCUUAACACAUGCAAGUCGAACGAGAACGGGUCUAACUUGCUAGAUUGUCAGCUAAGUGGCGAACUGGUGAGUAGAACAUUGGAAUAUGCCUCUAAGUUUGGAAUAACUAUUGGAAACGAUAGCUAAUACUGAAUAUACCUACGGGUGAAAGAUUUAUUGCUUAGAGAUUAGCCAAUGACCUAUCAGGUAGUUGGUGGGGUAAAGGCCCACCAAGCCUAUGACGGGUAGCUGGUUUGAGAGGAUGAUCAGCCACACAGGAACUGAGACACGGUCCAGACUCCUACGGGAGGCAGCAGUGGGGAAUAUUGCACAAUGGGGGAAACCCUGAUGCAGUAAUACCGCGUGGAGGAUGAAGCAUUUAGGUGUGUAAACUCCUUUUAUAUAGGAAGAUAAUGACGGUACUAUAUGAAUAAGCACCGGCUAACUCCGUGCCAGCAGCCGCGGUAAUACGGGGGGUGCAAGCGUUACUCGGAAUCACUGGGCGUAAAGGGUAUGUGGGCGGUUUAAUAAGUCAGAUGUGAAAGCCAAUAGCUUAACUAUAGAACAGCAUUAGAAACUGUUAGACUAGAAUCCAGAAGGGGCAGGUGGAAUUAGUGGUGUAGGGGUAAAAUCC
Molecule: ribosomal RNA, 652 nt
Filed under: uncultured Campylobacterota bacterium
Lineage: Bacteria; Pseudomonadati; Campylobacterota
Description: bacterial SSU rRNA
Rfam family: Bacterial small subunit ribosomal RNA
Source: RNAcentral